UACGAAGGGGGCUAGCGUUGCUCGGAAUCACUGGGCGUAAAGGGUGCGUAGGCGGGUCUUUAAGUCAGGGGUGAAAUCCUGGAGCUCAACUCCAGAACUGCCUUUGAUACUGAGGAUCUUGAGUUCGGGAGAGGUGAGUGGAACUGCGAGUGUAGAGGUGGAAUUCGUAGAUAUUCGCAAGAACACCAGUGGCGAAGGCGGCUCACUGGCCCGGUACUGACGCUGAGGUGCGAAAGCGUGGGGAGCAAACAGG
RNAcentral lists this ribosomal RNA (253 nucleotides) under uncultured bacterium. RNAcentral's name for it is "partial 16S ribosomal RNA". It matches the Rfam family "Bacterial small subunit ribosomal RNA", at positions 524 to 776 of the family's 1533-position model. The record is from RNAcentral.